This 560-nucleotide long non-coding RNA is filed under the name Mus spicilegus (steppe mouse). Its description in RNAcentral is "lncRNA (ENSMSIG00000009864.1)". The record is from RNAcentral. Lineage: Eukaryota; Metazoa; Chordata; Mammalia; Rodentia; Muridae.
GCCUAGUUCGUCUUUACUAUAAGAUGUUUCUCAAGCCUAAAACGGAGGCAGGCUGGUUCAUCACCAGAAACAUGGAAAAUAUUUUGACUAGAGAUAUUGGUUUGUGUCCUUGGUUUUAAAUCUUUCUUCUUUUGCACAGAGAAUUAAUGAGCAGAGCUGCCUGGAAGCUACUUGUGAUCAGAUACUUCCCUGAUCUUUGGAUGUGUUGUGCUGAAACCUGUCUAGUCACCAGGAUGGAGAGAUGAAGAGAUGAUGAUAAGUGAGAUAAAUCGUGACAGUUUCUGGACCACAUGAAAUAGCAAGAAGAAAUGACUCGGAUGUGAUCCAUGGUGGUGGCAGGGAAUCACCUAAGUGCAAGCCAGGUUCCAAGUGACCAGUGGGAAAGACCUGAAGUGUGGCCACACCUCUUCCUUGCAUACUCCAGCCCAGAGACAUGUGGCCUGGGCAGAGGCGCUGUCUCUGGUCCAGCCCGGGGAAGGCAGAAGAACACUUUCUUUCAGUUUCUGGAAAAGAUGCUCUGGCCUCUAAUUCUUCACCUACCUGAAGUAGUUGGCUGGUAG